Molecule: microRNA precursor, 206 nt
Organism: Oryza sativa Japonica Group (Japanese rice)
Lineage: Eukaryota; Viridiplantae; Streptophyta; Magnoliopsida; Poales; Poaceae
Rfam family: MIR812 microRNA precursor family
Source: Rfam
UUUAAGUGCAACUAUGAGUUUUUGCGCCCAAUUUUAAUCGUCCGUCUUGUUUGAAUUUUUUUUAUAAUUAGUAUUUUUGUUGUUAUAAGAUGAUAAAACAUGAAUAGUACUUUACUCGUGACUUAUGUUUUUAAUUUUUUUUCAAAAAAUUUUCGAAUAAAACAGACGAUCAAAGUUGGACGCGAAAAACCAUGAUUGCACUUAAA